GCCGGACGGUCUGUCGCUUGCGCCUCCGUGCGCACGAGGAAAGUCCGGGCAACACAGAGCAUCCCACUUCCUAACAGAAAGCUGUCCGCAAGGGUGGAGUAACGCAGAAGAAAACAACCGCCCCGCUCCGCAAGGAUGUCGGGGUAAGGGUGAGAAGGCGGGGUAAGAGCCCACCAGGCUUGUGGCGACACAAGUGCUGUGCGUCUUGGGAGUUGUAAGGUCAUGUAAACCGACGUCAAGAGGGUUGCUCGCCCCAUGUCGGAGGGUAGACCGCUAAAGCCGUCAGGUGACUGCCGGCUCAGAUAAAUGACAGACACUUGCCCCCGCGGCAAGCACAGAACCCGGCUUACAGGCUGGCUG
RNAcentral lists this RNase P RNA (360 nucleotides) under uncultured Bacteroides sp. Its description in RNAcentral is "Bacterial RNase P class A". It matches the Rfam family "Bacterial RNase P class A". Rfam says of the family: Ribonuclease P (RNase P) is a ubiquitous endoribonuclease, found in archaea, bacteria and eukarya as well as chloroplasts and mitochondria. Its best characterised activity is the generation of mature 5'-ends of tRNAs by cleaving the 5'-leader elements of precursor-tRNAs. Cellular RNase Ps are ribonucleoproteins. The record is from RNAcentral. Lineage: Bacteria; Pseudomonadati; Bacteroidota; Bacteroidia; Bacteroidales; Bacteroidaceae.